AACAGAGAGAAUCAACAUUAAGCCCCAUUGGACUGGAUUCUGAAGAUGCUUGAGGACUUCCUGCCUUAGUCAGAUUUGGUUUGGAACUGGGGCAGGGCCAGGCCUGCAGGUGGAAGCAACAUCAGCCCCAGCUGUGGGUCCUUCUGACCUCUUUUUCUCUCUACCAGAGAACUGGCUAUUUUUACCUGUCAACUGAGAAGGAUGGAUAGAGAAAAGCAUCAUUACAAAAGUGAAAUGUGUGAAUUUUAUUCUGGCUUUGAACAUUGAGUAGACGAAGAAGACAAUUCCAGACGGAGGAAACUCCACAAGAAAUAUCAUGGAAAUUUGAAAGAACACAGUGGGCUUGGGAAGAGGUGCUUCCAAGACCAAGAUAACCAGGCAAUCAUAGUAGAUGCAUCAAUGCACCCUUGCCCAAGGGCCUAGACAAGAGGUAUUGUUUAGCUUCGCAUGAAUUUUAUCACCUUGCCUAGAACCAGCCACCAUCUGCCAGGGCUCCUGACUUUUUCUGAAAUGAAUAGACACUAAAGCCUGCUGGGGAAUUUCAUGGAAAUCAAGAUGACUCAACCCAGAGUCCAUUUCAAGGCUAGGAUGCUAGAGGACGCCAACAAAGGAGUAGGGAAGUGAAACGGAUCAGCUCACAUCCAAGCCCUUGCAUGAUCAAUCCUGCAGUAGGAGUGCUGCUCAGUUGGGACUCAUGAGAGCCCGGAAGAGGAAAAAGCAGCUCUAAGCAUAGCAAAGAAGCUGUUAUGGAAAAGACCCAAAUGUUAAAAUGGUGGACAUAGUAAAGUGAUUGGUUCUGCUUAGGGGAAUCUAGAUCCCCACAUUUUGACCUCCACUGGAGUCUCAGAAGAACAAGUGCCAGGGGGGCUUGCCACAGAGGCCAAGGCAGUGAAUGUCAGGCACAUCACAGUCCCCAAGAUGGGGAGAAGACUGAGAUGCAGGGUAACAACUGCAAUCCAUUCAUGGGAGCCAUGUUUAUCUUAAAUCAUUGACAGUGAGAUAAGGAUCAUGUCAGCCUUCAUACCUUUGAUGAUGAUCCCAGGCUGCAACAGUGACACAUAGAACUGGAUUCAGUAACUAACUACAGAUUCCAUCAACCAGGACUAGUAAAGUGAAAGGCAGAAAUUGGGAGGAGGGGUUUCUUUCUUGCUUAUAAAACUUUAUUUGGUUGUGUUGAGUAUGUGCAUGUAUGUAUGAAAUCCCAUAAAGCAGUCUUCUUAGGAACAAGCCAACAUGCCACAAUGUAGGAGAUCUUUGGAGCACUGGCCUAAAUGGCAGAGAGCUCAAGGGACUCUGCUUUGUACAAGGCAUGAUUUGUACCACCACCACUAUCCCUGUUUCAGAGCACUGUUGAAUUGUUCCAAACCUGGAUUUCUAUGUCAGCUCCCUGUCUAUAGUACUUGACUGAUAAAUGCUAGUUUCUGAAAUCUGCUUUGGUUCUAUAAUUUAUUAGACAGCUUUUUCUUCCCAUUUUAUUACUUGUUUUUACUGUCAUUGGUAUAUUAUCUCUUACAGUGAAAACAUUCAUAGGCUGAUUGAAGAGAAGAUCUGAAAUUAUUAGGCAGCAAGCAUACAAAACCCUUGCUUUAUAAAGAUAAUAUCUUAAAGGCCUAAUGUCUAUGGUUCAAAGCAGCCUGGAGAUGUUGGCUAAAUCUUCCAUCAUAGAGUCCUCAUGGGAUCUGGAAGCUCUGAUUUAUCUUCCUUCAGGCCCUAUAAGUUAGCUUUCCACAUCUGUAGGUUCCACAAUCAACCUUGGAUCAAAAACAUUUGAAA
Molecule: long non-coding RNA, 1773 nt
Filed under: Homo sapiens (human)
Lineage: Eukaryota; Metazoa; Chordata; Mammalia; Primates; Hominidae
Description: HSALNT0172480
Source: RNAcentral